UACGUAGGACCCAAGCAUUAUCCGGAAUUACUGGGCGUAAAGAGUUGCGUAGGUGGCACUGUAAGCAAGGCAUGAAAUCGUGUGGCUCAACCAUACGGCUAUGUUUUGAACUGCAGAGCUAGAGAAUGAGAGGGGUAGAUGGAAUUACUAGUGUAGGAGUGAAAUCCGUAGAUAUUAGUAGGAACACCGAUAGCGUAGGCAGUCUACUGGCUCAUUUCUGACACUCAGGCACGAAAGCGUGGGGAGCAAACGGG
RNAcentral lists this ribosomal RNA (254 nucleotides) under uncultured bacterium. RNAcentral describes it as "partial 16S ribosomal RNA". It matches the Rfam family "Bacterial small subunit ribosomal RNA", at positions 524 to 776 of the family's 1533-position model. The record is from RNAcentral.